CUCUUCCUUCUUUAGAAAGCAUCGCUGAGCAUUUGUUGUUCCCUAGUGUUGAGGGAAGCGUCUGGUAGCAUUUCAGUUAACGGAAUUUGAGGCACUCUCCUUUCCGUCCGUUUGUUAGAAUCUUGGUUUUAACCGUAAAAUUGCAGCCGUUGAGAGGGCUUGGGUUCUAGCUAGUACGCAGUAGCUACGGUAAGUGACUGGAGACAAAUGCAGACGAGCGCGGAGCUCCAGGCAGCCUCUGGGCCCAGGAUAGCACCUGCGUACACUGUUCCCUAAAUCGGAGGCACUUAGCCUUUCGGGAAACAGAGUCCGGGUGACGGCAGCAAAGUCCAGAGGUAAAGAGGAAACUGUAUGUCCUUAGAUGGGGAUGGAUUCAUUUGGAGAAGUUUCAACUUGGCGAUUCUGUGCAGCAGUCCUGAGGACCGGACCAGCACGGAGAGUACAAGGCUGCCCAGAGCCCUUGUGAAGGUGCCUCCCACCAGAGGAUGAAGACAGGCCCCCUGUGCAGAAGCGGAGGAUGACUCCUGUCCCUGCCAGGCAAUGCAGAGUGAAGAAGUUUGGUAAAUAGUCACAGCCCCUGAGGCGGGUAGAAAUCCAUUUGAACAGCACACAAGCAAUUCAGACUGACAUAUAAGAAGGUCAGAAGACAGUUCUCCUGCCUACUCUGCCAUGGACUAUUUCCCCUCUGCAGUGUCUCUCUGCCAUGGUGCCCUGCCUUGGAGCCAGCUGAUAAUAGAUUGAAACCUCUGCAAACUGUGAGCCAGAAUAAACCUUUCCUCUUUUUAACCUGGGGGUGUUGAGUAUUUUGCCCCAGCAAUAAAAAAUAAGUAAGACAACCAGACCUCCAACUUCCACCUCAAUGGCAGUUUGAAUUAGAAAUGUAAAAUUUAGAACCAAAAUUCUGGUUGCUCAUUGUCCCUCCAUGGACUCCCCAGCUCCGGGAGGAAGUACGAUGUGCUGAUUAUCUUUGGCUUCUUCUGGAAGAGUCUGGAAUCUUCUAGAUUAUCCAAACAAGAGGCUUCUCUGAUCCAUCCCUGGACUGUGAUUGAUGUCAGCUUGGUCUUUGUGCUGAAAUAGCUCACCUUCCCCAGGCCCAGAGAUCCGGAAGGUGGGGAGAGAGACCCUGUCAGCCUUCAUGGGGCCAUUUUUCUAGAUGAGAAUAUUGACACAUUAAGUCACUAGCAGCUACAGUUUCAGUCAACUUACAAAUCCACCGUCAUCUCUUUUUUUUUGGUACUGGGGAUCGAACUCAGGACCUUGUGUUUGUGAGGCAGGUGGCGGCACCACUGAGCUAGAUCCCCAGCCCACCGACCCCUUUAUUCUUAACUGCAGUCCUGAGCCCUCAUUUCCAGUUGUGGUUCACAGACAUUUUGCACCUCACUCCAAAACUCACUCAGGAAGCUUUAGGUUAGACCCAGCUUCCUGCUUUAUAAGAAAGACUGACUUACGGUGAUUAUGCCUGGGGACUAGAGUACCUUGGGAGAAGAUGGAGUGUGUUGUGUGCACUCACACUUUUGCUUUUUCCCUUACUUCACAUCUGCACUUCUUACCACACUGCAAACAUAACUAAACAUCAUGACCAUGAAACCACAUACUCAAUCCCCAAUCCCAUUUCCUUAUGUGUCACUAACAUAUCUGUCCCUAAAUUUGGCUGAUUGCACACAACUUAAGUCUUUGCCUCCUACUCUGUGCAAACCCAUCCGGUAAUGUGUCAAUGGCAGGGUGCCACCCUGAAGUGCAUAUUUGUAAAUGUGCCAUCAUACUGACAAAUACCUGUGACCCUAAAUUUGAAGAUGGAUAGUUAAUUAUUCAGGGGGAGAAAUUCCUCCAGAAGCAGUGGCACAGGGGACAGGAAGAUCUCCCAGGUGGGCUCAGGUCAUAAGCACUGUGGAUAUGAACUAGGAUGAACACAUAGCAAUAAUUCUCUUCCAUUUCUGAAUAUGCAGCCUGUUCCAUUUGAUACCUCCUUGUUCCACAUUCACUUUGUUGUAACUAAAUCCUGACAAACAGUAGAAAUACAACUUUUAGGGAGAAAUGGAAAUUUAUGCCUAGUGGGUAUUCACUGGGGACAAAAAUCAGCAUUUAAUUUGCAGUGUCAUUUGGACCCAAUUGGCCUGAAAUAAAU
Molecule: long non-coding RNA, 2125 nt
Organism: Heterocephalus glaber (naked mole-rat)
Lineage: Eukaryota; Metazoa; Chordata; Mammalia; Rodentia; Bathyergidae
Source: Ensembl